Aegilops tauschii subsp. strangulata is the source of this 399-nucleotide non-coding RNA. The record is from RefSeq and is a predicted model, not a curated record. NCBI's taxonomy places the organism in Eukaryota, Viridiplantae, Streptophyta, Magnoliopsida, Poales, Poaceae.
CUGGGACAUGCGUCGGAAUGAGAACAAUAGCAAGACCGCUAAUGUUGUUAUUGGCGAUGUUGACAUGAAAGAUGUCGGGUCGCAAGAACUACACCCGUGCUGAUGGGAAACGGGACACAUGCUUCUGUUCAUGGUGUUGGUACGGUCGAUCUGAAGUUUACUUCGGGAAAGAUCGUGCGACUGAAGAACGUGCAGCAUGUCCCUGCUAUAAAUAAAAAUCUUGUCAGCGGUUCUUGUUUGUGUCGAGAUGGUUAUAAAUUGGUAUUUGAGUCCAAUAAGGUUGUAGUAUCUAAGUGUGGACAAUUUGUUGGGAAGGGCUAUGAGAGCGGAGGCUUGUUCCGCUUAUCUUUGUCAGACUUUUGCACUAAAGUUAUUAAUCAUGUUUGCAGUGAAACCGAA